This 341-nucleotide ribosomal RNA is filed under the name uncultured Succinivibrio sp. Its description in RNAcentral is "bacterial SSU rRNA". It matches the Rfam family "Bacterial small subunit ribosomal RNA", at positions 355 to 710 of the family's 1533-position model. Lineage: Bacteria; Pseudomonadati; Pseudomonadota; Gammaproteobacteria; Aeromonadales; Succinivibrionaceae. The record is from RNAcentral.
UAGGGAAUAUUGCACAAUGGAGGAAACUCUGAUGCAGCCAUGCCGCGUGUGUGAAGAAGGCCUUCGGGUUGUAAAGCACUUUCGGAGGGGAGGAAGAAAAUGACGUUACCCUCAGAAGAAGCACCGGCUAACUCCGUGCCAGCAGCCGCGGUAAUACGGAGGGUGCAAGCGUUAAUCGGAAUAACUGGGCGUAAAGGGCAUGCAGGCGGUUCAUCAAGUAGGAUGUGAAAUCCCCGGGCUCAACCUGGGAACAGCAUACUAAACUGGUGGACUAGAGUAUUGCAGGGGGAGACGGAAUUCCAGGUGUAGCGGUGGAAUGCGUAGAUAUCUGGAAGAACACC